This is a non-coding RNA of Gossypium hirsutum (cotton), 87 nucleotides long. NCBI's taxonomy places the organism in Eukaryota, Viridiplantae, Streptophyta, Magnoliopsida, Malvales, Malvaceae. The record is from Rfam.
CACGUCAGAGUGCUUUGCUGACGUGGCAACAAAUCGUGCUUACGUGGACGCGAUUUGUUGCCACGUUAGCAAAGCGCUCUGACGUGG